CUCCCAGACUCCUACGGGAGGCAGCAGUGGGGAAUAUUGCACAAUGGGCGCAAGCCUGAUGCAGCCAUGCCGCGUGUAUGAAGAAGGCCUUCGGGUUGUAAAGUACUUUCAGCGGGGAGGAAGGGGUUAAAGUUAAUAACCUUAGCCAUUGACGUUACCCGCAGAAGAAGCACCGGCUAACUCCGUGCCAGCAGCCGCGGUAAUACGGAGGGUGCAAGCGUUAAUCGGAAUUACUGGGCGUAAAGCGCACGCAGGCGGUCUGUCAAGUCGGAUGUGAAAUCCCCGGGCUCAACCUGGGAACUGCAUUCGAAACUGGCAGGCUGGAGUCUUGUAGAGGGGGGUAGAAUUCCAGGUGUAGCGGUGAAAUGCGUAGAGAUCUGGAGGAAUACCGGUGGCGAAGGCGGCCCCCUGGACAAAGACUGACGCUCAGGUGCGAAAGCGUGGGGAGCAAACAGGAUUAGAUACCCUUGUAACA
Molecule: ribosomal RNA, 475 nt
Filed under: uncultured bacterium
Lineage: Bacteria
Description: bacterial SSU rRNA
Rfam family: Bacterial small subunit ribosomal RNA
Source: RNAcentral